UACGGAGGGGGCUAGCGUUGUUCGGAAUUACUGGGCGUAAAGCGCACGUAGGCGGCUUUGUAAGUCAGAGGUGAAAGCCUGGAGCUCAACUCCAGAACUGCCUUUGAGACUGCAUCGCUUGAAUCCAGGAGAGGUGAGUGGAAUUCCGAGUGUAGAGGUGAAAUUCGUAGAUAUUCGGAAGAACACCAGUGGCGAAGGCGGCUCACUGGACUGGUAUUGACGCUGAGGUGCGAAAGCGUGGGGAGCAAACAGG
This 253-nucleotide ribosomal RNA is filed under the name uncultured bacterium. RNAcentral's name for it is "partial 16S ribosomal RNA". It matches the Rfam family "Bacterial small subunit ribosomal RNA", at positions 524 to 776 of the family's 1533-position model. The record is from RNAcentral.